GGGCUCACACAAGCGGUGGAGGAUGUGGCUUAAUUCGAGGCUACGCGAAGAACCUUAUCCUGGUCUUGACAUGCUUGAGAAUCCCGCCGAAAGGCGGGAGUGCCCUUCGGGGAGCUCUUGCACAGGUGCUGCAUGGCUGUCGUCAGCUCGUGUCGUGAGAUGUCGGGUUAAGUCCCUUAACGAGCGAAACCCUUGUCCCUAGUUGCCAGCGGGUCAUGCCGGGGACUCUAGGGAGACCGCCGGUGUUAAACCGGAGGAAGGUGGGGAUGACGUCAAGUCCUCAUGGCCUUUAUGAUCAGGGCUGCACACGUCCUACAAUGGACCAUACAAAGGGAAGCGAACUCGCGAGAGAAAGCAAAUCCCAAAAAACGGUCCUCAGUUCGGAUUGCAGGCUGCAACCCGCCUGCAUGAAGCCGGAAUCGCUAGUAAUCGCGGGUCAGCAUACCGCGGUGAAUGUGUUCCUGAGCCUU
This 470-nucleotide ribosomal RNA is filed under the name uncultured bacterium. RNAcentral describes it as "bacterial SSU rRNA". It matches the Rfam family "Bacterial small subunit ribosomal RNA", at positions 917 to 1382 of the family's 1533-position model. The record is from RNAcentral.